GGUGGCCUAGUGAUUAGAGCAUCCGCCUCGGAUGCGGGAGGUUGUUGGUUUGAUCCCCAACCAAGUCA
Potamilus streckersoni is the source of this 68-nucleotide non-coding RNA. NCBI's taxonomy places the organism in Eukaryota, Metazoa, Mollusca, Bivalvia, Unionida, Unionidae. The record is from the annotation of a GenBank genome assembly.